RNAcentral lists this ribosomal RNA (1164 nucleotides) under uncultured archaeon. RNAcentral describes it as "bacterial SSU rRNA". It matches the Rfam family "Archaeal small subunit ribosomal RNA", at positions 255 to 1412 of the family's 1478-position model. The record is from RNAcentral.
AGCCCAUAACCGGUACGGGCCGUGGGAGCGGGAGCCCGGAGAUGGGCACUGAGACAAGGGCCCAGGUCCUACGGGACGCAGCAGUUGCGAAACCUCCGCAAUGCGCGAAAGCGUGACGGGGCCAUCCCGAGUGCCGUCCGCUGAGGACGGCUUUUCUCCGGUGUAAUGCGCCGGAGGAAUAAGGAGAGGGCAAGUCUGGUGUCAGCCGCCGCGGUAAUACCAGCUCUCCGAGUGGUGGAGACGAUUAUUGGGCCUAAAGCGUCCGUAGCCGGUCUGGUGUGUAUCCCGUUAAAUCCAACGACUUAAUCGUUGGGCUGCGGGAUAUACUGCCAGACUAGGGGGCGGGAGAAGUCGACGGUAUUCCCGGGGUAGGGGUGAAAUCCUAUAAUCCCGGGAGGACCAUCAGUGGCGAAGGCGGUCGACUAGAACGCGCCCGACGGUGAGGGACGAAAGCUGGGGGAGCGAACCGGAUUAGAUACCCGGGUAGUCCCAGCCGUAAACGAUGCAGGCUAGGUGUUGGGGCGGCCACGAGCCGCUCCAGUGCCGCAAGGAAGCCGUUAAGCCUGCCGCCUGGGUAGUUACGGCCAGGCAAGGCGUGAAACUUAAAGGUAAAUUGGCGGGGGAGCACCCACAAGGGGUUGAAGCUUUGCGGUUUAAUUGGAGUCAACACCGGGAACCUUACCCGAGGGCGACAGCAGGAUGAAGGCCAGAUUGAAGGUCUUGCCGGACAAGCUGAGAGGAGGUGCAUGGCCGUCGCCAGUUCGUGCCGUGAGGUGUCCUCUUAAGUGAGGCAACGAUCGAGACCCGCGCCUCUUGUUGCCAGCGGAUCCCGUCGGGAUCCGGGCACACGAGAGGGACUGCCGCCGACAAGGCGGAGGAAGGAGCGGGCCACGGCAGGUCAGUAUGCCCCGAAUCCCCCGGGCCACACGCGAGCUGCAAUGGCAGGGACAGAGGGUUCCGACCCCGAAAGGGGGAGGGAAUCCCUAAACCCUGCCGUAGUCGGGAUCGAGGGCUGCAACCCGCCCUCGUGAACAUGGAAUCCCUAGUAAUCGCGCGUCAUCAACGCGCGGUGAAUACGUCCCUGCUCCUUGCACACACCGCCCGUCGCUCCACCCGAGUGGGGUUUGGGUGAGGCGUGGUCUUGUUGGCCGUCGUCGAACCUAA